UCGGAUUUUGCACAACACCACCAGAAAAGGUAGUUUAGGUAUACUGACAGAUUGUUUAGUCGACGGAAAAUUGCACGGCGACGAGGUCUUCUUCCUGGAAGUAGCUGGAAUGAUGCACAUCUAUACUAUUCUCACCAAAGCUCUGAUACCAUGUGAGAAGGUACGGGAGAAGAAUAUAUAAUUGAUAUGUAAACAUGAUACAAUGAGCCCUAUAUAUAAU
Molecule: long non-coding RNA, 220 nt
Filed under: Nicotiana benthamiana
Lineage: Eukaryota; Viridiplantae; Streptophyta; Magnoliopsida; Solanales; Solanaceae
Description: long non-coding RNA (NBEN_LNC000734)
Source: RNAcentral